This 268-nucleotide ribosomal RNA is filed under the name uncultured prokaryote. RNAcentral describes it as "partial 16S ribosomal RNA". It matches the Rfam family "Bacterial small subunit ribosomal RNA", at positions 524 to 792 of the family's 1533-position model. The record is from RNAcentral.
GACGGAGGUGGCAAGCGUUGUUCGGAAUUACUGGGCUUAAAGAGCGCGUAGGCGCCUGUCAAGCGUCCUGUGAAAUCCCUCGGCUCAACCGAGGAAUGGCUGGGCGAACUGACAGGCUUGAGGCACGUAGGGGCGCGUGGAACUCUUGGUGGAGCGGUGAAAUGCGUAGAUAUCAAGAGGAACGCCGGUGGCGAAGGCGACGCGCUGGGCGUGUCCUGACGCUGAGGCGCGAAAGCCAGGGGAGCGAACGGGAUUAGAUACCCGCGUA